This 203-nucleotide long non-coding RNA is filed under the name Panax ginseng (ginseng). Its description in RNAcentral is "long non-coding RNA (PGIN_LNC009238)". Lineage: Eukaryota; Viridiplantae; Streptophyta; Magnoliopsida; Apiales; Araliaceae. The record is from RNAcentral.
UGCUAUACUGCAGAGCCAACAGACAGUUAUAUUGUAGCAAACAAACCAAAAAACUCUUGAAGGUCCUGUAUUUACUUGUUUUUCUGUGUAGGAUUUCUAGGUUGUAUAGUCAGUAUCCAAGAAUUACAUUUUUUGGGCAGUACUCGUUUGGUUGAGUGAUUCUUCUGUGUGAUGUGAAUUUGAGAUGUAUAUAUGGAUAGUUU